UCAACUAUAUCGCCGGUCUGGAGCAUGUCGCCAGUCCAUUCGUCGGCUUUGGAACUACCUUUGAGACACUCGAUAGAAAGGACUUUGAUGGGUUUGGGGUCUCUGGAUGGGGUUUCGGGUGGUGAAGUUCGGUCCAUGGUCAUUUUGGUCCUGUUUUCGAUGAUUAGUCUCUUGAUAGUACGCUCAUGGUCUGUUGAUUCUGCUUAAUCCACAACCGAACAGGAACACUGAGAGAGAGAAUCAAUUCGAAUCAGUUGGAAUCUGUUUAAAAGUAAUUCGAGAAUCUGGGGAUAUGAAUCAGAAAUGGUUUUGCGAGAGAGGGUUUAAGCUAUAAGGAAGUUG
This 342-nucleotide unclassified non-coding RNA is filed under the name Hevea brasiliensis (rubber tree). Lineage: Eukaryota; Viridiplantae; Streptophyta; Magnoliopsida; Malpighiales; Euphorbiaceae. The record is from RNAcentral.